Mytilus californianus (California mussel) is the source of this 613-nucleotide long non-coding RNA. RefSeq lists it as uncharacterized. The transcript has 2 exons. The record is from RefSeq and is a predicted model, not a curated record. NCBI's taxonomy places the organism in Eukaryota, Metazoa, Mollusca, Bivalvia, Mytilida, Mytilidae.
GAAUUACUUGAAGUAGCUUUUCUUUUUAAUAUACAAUUUUACAUUUAAAUAUAAAUUUAUAGGUAAGAUAUUUGAGUACUACAGAAGACAAAAUAAUUCAGAGGGCAAAAGGAAUAAUACAGAGCUAGGAAUAAUAGAAAUUAUUGACAACAUCCUGGCUAGAAAAUGCAUGGGAAUGGAGAUGGGAAAAAAUGCAUUCUACCAUUUGAUAGCCCAGAAUGAUUAAGUUUAAGAAAAGGUACGUGUAGUGAAAUAACUUUUAUGAAGAUAUGCUAAACUGGAUAUUAAAAGGAUGUAACAUUGGACGGAGCCAGAAAUAGUGACAAAACAAAGUGUAGCAGAAAACAAAAAGAACACUCUUGUGAAUAAAAACCAUGUUGGAAUACAGAACUAGAAAAAUAGCUGUAUAAAAUGAAUUAUCAAGGUCGUCAUACAGAGCUUGGAUAUUGCAACAUAAACUGUAAUGAUAUUAUACAAAUGGGAUAAAUGAAUUAUCAUGAAUAGACUUUAAAAUUUUCAUUCUAUAGAUCUGAUUUAGCAACGUAUAGAUACAAAAAAGACUUUUUUUAAAUUUGCUGGUUGUCUAGCUAAUAAUAAAUUAUAUUUAAUCAUA